GGUUGAUCCUGCCAGUAGUCAUAUGCUUGUCUCAAAGCUUAAGCCAUGCAAGUGUAAGUUCACGCCACGCAUUAGAACGGGCGAAACCGCGAAUGGCUCAGGAACCGGACCUAAUCCUCGGGACCGUAAUCCUCCUCGGAGGCGAUGGAUAACUGUGGCAAUUCUAGAGCUAAUACAUGUGACACAGGCCGCGAUCGGUCGGCGCGUCGUCGUCGCCUUCGUGCCGUCACGCGCGUGGGCACCCGCGUCGACCGUUACGGGUCGCGGCGCUACAUAUUAGACUGAGACCGAU
RNAcentral lists this ribosomal RNA (292 nucleotides) under uncultured eukaryote. Its description in RNAcentral is "partial 18S ribosomal RNA". It matches the Rfam family "Eukaryotic small subunit ribosomal RNA", at positions 6 to 226 of the family's 1831-position model. The record is from RNAcentral.